Molecule: non-coding RNA, 90 nt
Filed under: Pseudomonas umsongensis
Lineage: Bacteria; Pseudomonadati; Pseudomonadota; Gammaproteobacteria; Pseudomonadales; Pseudomonadaceae
Source: RNAcentral
CUAUAUGGUGGCUGUGUUUGGGACGCUCUCGGGCGUGCCAGGAAUGUGAGCCUCACUGGUUGACCAACCCGAACACAGUCCGCCUCCCAU